Molecule: long non-coding RNA, 519 nt
Organism: Heterocephalus glaber (naked mole-rat)
Lineage: Eukaryota; Metazoa; Chordata; Mammalia; Rodentia; Bathyergidae
Source: Ensembl
UGAUCUCCAGGGGAUCAGUAUAUCCCAAGUGAGUCUCCUUCAGUAUCCCAGCCACCUGUUCCCUGAUUGUCAUUCACCAUCCUGGUCGGUUGGCAAAUACUGGUUCACAGGAGUUUCCAUUUGUGUCACACAGCCUGAGAUCCUGUGCUGCAGCUUCUGCCAGCCUUUAGUUCAUGCCCUGCUGUCAACCGACCUGUGUCUAUGCUCAGAUCUCCACAGCCGGGCAGGAGCAGAACAAUGCUGACAGACUGGCCGUGCCCCAAGUCUUUGUUGGUUUUGAGGAAGGUCCAUGUUGAAGAAAAACAUUUUUUCAAGAAAGCAAAACAGCUUUGAAAGACUAAAGUAUAAAGUGGAUGGAGUAGUAGUGAGUUUCUGCAAGUGUCAGGAGACUACCCAAUCGAGUGUACUGUCCAAGAUAUCAGCAGAAACCUUAACAGGAGAGACAACGGCGACAUGCUCUUCGGCUUCCCAAAAUGCUGCUUUGAAAGCAAGACAAGGAAGUGAAUAUAAAGAUGGGUG